RNAcentral lists this ribosomal RNA (492 nucleotides) under uncultured bacterium. RNAcentral describes it as "partial 16S ribosomal RNA". It matches the Rfam family "Bacterial small subunit ribosomal RNA", at positions 29 to 507 of the family's 1533-position model. The record is from RNAcentral.
AGUGAACGCUGGCGGUAGGCCUAACACAUGCAAGUCGAACGGCAGCACAGUAAGAGCUUGCUCUUACGGGUGGCGAGUGGCGGACGGGUGAGGAAUACAUCGGAAUCUACUUUUUCGUGGGGGAUAACGUAGGGAAACUUACGCUAAUACCGCAUACGACCUACGGGUGAAAGCAGGGGAUCUUCGGACCUUGCGCGAUUGUAUGAGCCGAUGUCGGAUUAGCUAGUUGGCGGGGUAAAGGCCCACCAAGGCGACGAUCCGUAGCUGGUCCGAGAGGAUGAUCAGCCACACUGGAACUGAGACACGGUCCAGACUCCUACGGGAGGCAGCAGUGGGGAAUAUUGGACAAUGGGCGCAAGCCUGAUCCAGCCAUACCGCGUGGGUGAAGAAGGCCUUCGGGUUGUAAAGCGCUUUUGUUGGGAAAGAAAAGCAGCAGGUUAAUACCCCGCUGUUCUGACGGUACCCAAAGAAUAAGCACCGGCUAACUUCGUG